RNAcentral lists this ribosomal RNA (190 nucleotides) under uncultured Flavobacterium sp. RNAcentral describes it as "partial 16S ribosomal RNA". It matches the Rfam family "Bacterial small subunit ribosomal RNA", at positions 337 to 524 of the family's 1533-position model. Lineage: Bacteria; Pseudomonadati; Bacteroidota; Flavobacteriia; Flavobacteriales; Flavobacteriaceae. The record is from RNAcentral.
UCCUACGGGAGGCAGCAGUGAGGAAUAUUGGGCAAUGGAGGCAACUCUGACCCAGCCAUGCCGCGUGCAGGAAGACUGCCCUAUGGGUUGUAAACUGCUUUUAUACAGGAAGAAACACACCUACGUGUAGGUGCUUGACGGUACUGUAAGAAUAAGCACCGGCUAACUCCGUGCCAGCAGCCGCGGUAAU